UACGGAGGAGGCAAGCGUUAUACGGAAUUAUUGGGCGUAAAGCGUCCGCAGGUGGCACCUCAAGUCUGCUGUCAAAGACCGGGGCUUAACCCCAGAAAGGCAGUGGAAACUGAAGUGCUAGAGUGCAGUAGGGGUAGAGGGAAUUCCCGGUGUAGCGGUGAAAUGCGUAGAGAUCGGGAAGAACAUCGGUGGCGAAAGCGCUCUGCUGGACUGCAACUGACACUCAGGGACGAAAGCUAGGGGAGCGAAUGGG
Molecule: ribosomal RNA, 253 nt
Filed under: uncultured bacterium
Lineage: Bacteria
Description: partial 16S ribosomal RNA
Rfam family: Bacterial small subunit ribosomal RNA
Source: RNAcentral